RNAcentral lists this ribosomal RNA (253 nucleotides) under uncultured bacterium. Its description in RNAcentral is "partial 16S ribosomal RNA". It matches the Rfam family "Bacterial small subunit ribosomal RNA", at positions 524 to 776 of the family's 1533-position model. The record is from RNAcentral.
UACAGAGGCCUCGAGCGUUAGGCGGAAUCACUGGGCUUAAAGCGUGUGUAGGCGGAUCGUUAAGUGCCUUGUGAAAUCCCACGGCUUAACUGUGGAACGGCUGGGCAUACUGGCGGUCUUGAGCCAUCUAGGGGCGACUGGAACAAACGGUGGAGCGGUGAAAUGCGUAGAUAUCGUUUGGAACGCCAAUGGUGAAAACAGGUCGCUGGGGAUGAGCUGACGCUGAGACACGAAAGCCAGGGGAGCAAACGGG